GACGAACGCUGGCGGCGUGCUUAACACAUGCGAGUCGAACGGUGAAGCGCCUUCCUUUUUGGUGGGUGUGGAUGAGUGGCGAACGGGUGAGUAACACGUGAGUAACCUGCCCCCUUCUUCUGGAUAACCGCAUGAAAGUGUGGCUAAUACGGGAUAUUCUGGGUCUGUCGCAUGAUGGGUCUGGGAAAGAUAUUGUUUCGGUGGGGGAUGGGCUCGCGGCCUAUCAGCUUGUUGGUGGGGUGAUGGCCUACCAAGGCGGUGACGGGUAGCCGGCCUGAGAGGGUGGACGGUCAAGCUGGGACUGAGACACGGCCCAGACUCCUACGGGAGGCAGCAGUGGGGAAUAUGGCACAAUGGGCGCAAGGCUGAUGCAGCGACGCCGCGUGAGGGAUGGAGGCCUUCGGGUUGUGAACCUCUUUCGCCAGUGAAGCAGGCCUGCCUCGUUUGUGGGUGGGUUGACGGUAGCUGGAUAAGAAGCGCCGGCUAACUACGUG
This 494-nucleotide ribosomal RNA is filed under the name uncultured bacterium. RNAcentral's name for it is "partial 16S ribosomal RNA". It matches the Rfam family "Bacterial small subunit ribosomal RNA", at positions 28 to 507 of the family's 1533-position model. The record is from RNAcentral.